RNAcentral lists this ribosomal RNA (497 nucleotides) under uncultured bacterium. RNAcentral describes it as "partial 16S ribosomal RNA". It matches the Rfam family "Bacterial small subunit ribosomal RNA", at positions 28 to 507 of the family's 1533-position model. The record is from RNAcentral.
GAUGAACGCUGGCGGCGUGCCUAAUACAUGCAAGUCGAGCGAACAGACGAGGAGCUUGCUCCUCUGACGUUAGCGGCGGACGGGUGAGUAACACGUGGAUAACCUACCUAUAAGACUGGGAUAACUUCGGGAAACCGGAGCUAAUACCGGAUAAUAUAUUGAACCGCAUGGUUCAAUAGUGAAAGACGGUUUUGCUGUCACUUAUAGAUGGAUCCGCGCCGCAUUAGCUAGUUGGUAAGGUAACGGCUUACCAAGGCAACGAGGCGUAGCCGACCUGAGAGGGUGAUCGGCCACAUUGGAACUGAGACACGGUCCAGACUCCUACGGGAGGCAGCAGUAGGGAAUCUUCCGCAAUGGGCGAAAGCCUGACGGAGCAACGCCGCGUGAGUGAUGAAGGUCUUCGGAUCGUAAAACUCUGUUAUUAGGGAAGAACAAAUGUGUAAGUAACUAUGCACGUCUUGACGGUACCUAAUCAGAAAGCCACGGCUAACUACGUG